Molecule: ribosomal RNA, 453 nt
Filed under: uncultured bacterium
Lineage: Bacteria
Description: bacterial SSU rRNA
Rfam family: Bacterial small subunit ribosomal RNA
Source: RNAcentral
UACGGAAGGAGCAGUGGGGAAUAUUGCACAAUGGGCGCAAGCCUGAUGCAGCCAUGCCGCGUGUAUGAAGAAGGCCUUCGGGUUGUAAAGUACUUUCAGUCGUGAGGAAGGUGUUAAGGUUAAUAACCUUAGCAAUUGACGUUAGCGACAGAAGAAGCACCGGCUAACUCCGUGCCAGCAGCCGCGGUAAUACGGAGGGUGCGAGCGUUAAUCGGAAUUACUGGGCGUAAAGGGCACGCAGGCGGUUAAUUAAGUUGGAUGUGAAAUCCCCGGGCUUAACCUGGGAAUGGCAUUCAAGACUGGUUAGCUAGAGUCUUGUAGAGGGGGUAGAAUUCCAUGUGUAGCGGUGAAAUGCGUAGAGAUGUGGAGGAAUACCGGUGGCGAAGGCGGCCCCUGGACAAAGACUGACGCUCAUGUGCGAAAGCGUGGGGAGCAAACAGGGAUUUAGAUACC